AGAGUUUGAUCAUGGCUCAGAACGAACGCUGGCGGCGUACUUAACACAUGCAAGUCGGACGAGAAAGGAGACUUCGGUCUCUGAGUACAGUGGCGCACGGGUGCGUAACACGUAAGCAAUCUACCCCGAACUCCGGGAUAACCCUCCGAAAGGAGGGCUAACACUGGAUAGGGUCCCCGAGGUGUAGGCCGCGGGGGGAAAACGGGCCUCUGUUUAUGCUUGUGGUUCGGGAUGAGCUUGCGGCCCAUUAGCUAGUUGGUAGGGUAACGGCCUACCAAGGCAACGAUGGGUAGCUGGUCUGAGAGGAUGAUCAGCCACACUGGCACUGAGACACGGGCCAGACUCCUACGGGAGGCAGCAGUGGGGAAUUUUGCGCAUUGGGCGAAAGCCUGACGCAGUAACGCCGCGUGGAGGAUGAAGGCCUUCGGGUUGUAAACUCCUGUCAGGAGGAACGACGGAGAAAGGGUGACAAGCCUUUUCCUCCAGACGGUACCUCCAAAGGAAGCCCCGGCUAAUUCCGUGCCAGCAGCCGCGGUAAUACGGAAGGGGCGAGCGUUGUUCGGAAUCAUUGGGCGUAAAGGGCGCGUAGGUGGUCCUGUAUGUCUGCCGUGAAAGGGUACAGCUUAACUGUAGCUUGUCGGUAGAAACUGCAGGACUUGAGGCUGGGAGGGGCUGGUGGAAUUCCCUGUGUAGCGGUGAAAUGCGUAGAGAUGGGGGAGAACACUCGUGGCGAAGGCGGCCAGCUAGACCAGUUCUGACACUGAGGCGCGACAGCGUGGGGAGCAAACAGGAUUAGAUACCCUAGUAGUCC
Molecule: ribosomal RNA, 811 nt
Filed under: uncultured bacterium
Lineage: Bacteria
Description: bacterial SSU rRNA
Rfam family: Bacterial small subunit ribosomal RNA
Source: RNAcentral